GAUGAAGAACGCAGCGAAAUGCGAUAAGUAAUGUGAAUUGCAGAAUUCAGUGAAUCAUCGAAUCUUUGAACGCAUCUUGCGCUCCUUGGUAUUCUGAGGAGCAUGCCUGUUUGAGUGUCAUUAAAUUCUCAACUACACUGACUUUGAAUUGGUGUGGCUUGGAUUUGGGGGGAAAAUUGUUGUGGGCUUUUUGUAUAGUCUGCUCCCCUGAAAUUGAUUAGCGGUACCUUUGUGGAACUGUCUACAGGUGUGAUAAUUAUCUACAUCUUAGACAUCUGCUGGAAUGCUGCUUUCUAAACCUUACUUGUAUUGACAAUCUUGACCUCAAAUCAGGUAGGACUACCCGCUGAACUUAAGCAUAUCAAUAAGCGGAGUA
Molecule: unclassified non-coding RNA, 376 nt
Filed under: soil metagenome
Description: partial contains 5.8S ribosomal RNA, internal transcribed spacer 2, and large subunit ribosomal RNA
Rfam family: 5.8S ribosomal RNA (bases 1-120)
Source: RNAcentral